GCGGAUAAUAAUCCGUAGGGAUGUAACCCAAACGGGGUUGAACCGCAAA
This 49-nucleotide non-coding RNA is filed under the name unclassified sequences. RNAcentral describes it as "eL15-Euryarchaeota ribosomal protein leader". It matches the Rfam family "eL15-Euryarchaeota ribosomal protein leader". The record is from RNAcentral.